AUACGGAGGGUGCAAGCGUUAUCCGGAAUCAUUGGGUUUAAAGGGUCCGUAGGCGGACUAUUAAGUCAGAGGUGAAAUCCCACAGCUCAACUGUGGAACCGCCUUUGAUACUGGUAGUCUUGAGUUAUAUGGAAGUAGAUAGAAUGUGUAGUGUAGCGGUGAAAUGCAUAGAUAUUACACAGAAUACCGAUUGCGAAGGCAGUCUACUACGUAUAUACUGACGCUAAGGGACGAAAGCGUGGGGAGCGAACAGGAUUAGAAACCCUAGUAGUCC
This 274-nucleotide ribosomal RNA is filed under the name uncultured bacterium. Its description in RNAcentral is "partial 16S ribosomal RNA". It matches the Rfam family "Bacterial small subunit ribosomal RNA", at positions 523 to 796 of the family's 1533-position model. The record is from RNAcentral.